Molecule: unclassified non-coding RNA, 201 nt
Filed under: Hevea brasiliensis (rubber tree)
Lineage: Eukaryota; Viridiplantae; Streptophyta; Magnoliopsida; Malpighiales; Euphorbiaceae
Source: RNAcentral
CAUUGUCAAGUCAAUCUUUUCAAAGAACUUCUCAAACUUUGUUUGUAGCAUCACUACACACUGCCCGUCACUUGUGUCCCAGAUACCCUGCAAAUUGUUUAUACCCUGACACCAUUUAUAAACAAGCAGUGGUGGUGGCUCAGAAUCUGCAGGCUUAAUCCAGUUUGGAAAGAGAUGGCGCUUGUCACCUUCAUACCACAG